Molecule: ribosomal RNA, 478 nt
Filed under: uncultured bacterium
Lineage: Bacteria
Description: partial 16S ribosomal RNA
Rfam family: Bacterial small subunit ribosomal RNA
Source: RNAcentral
GAUGAACGCUGGCGGCGUGCCUAACACAUGCAAGUCGAGCGAUGAAACUUCUUCGGAAGUGGAUUAGCGGCGGACGGGUGAGUAACACGUGGGUAACCUGCCUCAUAGUGGGGGAUAGCCUUUCGAAAGGAAGAUUAAUACCCUAUAAGAUUGUAGCUUCGAAUGAAGUAGCAAUAAAAGGAGCAGUCCGCUAUGAGAUGGACCAGCGUUGCAUUAGCUAGUUGGUAAGGUAAUGGCUUACCAAGGCGACGAUGCGUAGCCGACCUGAGAGGGUGAUCGGCCACAUUGGGACUGAGACACGGCCCAGACUCCUACGGGAGGCAGCAGUGGGGAAUAUUGCACAAUGGGGGAAACCCUGAUGCAGCAACGCCGCGUGAGUGAUGACGGUCUUCGGAUUGUAUAACUCUGUCUUUGGGGACGAUAAUGACGGUACCCAAGGAGGAAGCCACGGCUAACUACGUGCCAGCCGCCGCCGUAA